This 294-nucleotide long non-coding RNA is filed under the name Mus caroli (Ryukyu mouse). RNAcentral describes it as "lncRNA (MGP_CAROLIEiJ_G0013376.1)". Lineage: Eukaryota; Metazoa; Chordata; Mammalia; Rodentia; Muridae. The record is from RNAcentral.
UGUGAAUGGAGACUAGCCUGCUGGUAGAGACCUUGGCAGUGACCGCUGUGGGCAAUGAGCCAUGGGCCAACAAUAUUCAAUGCUGUGUACCUGAUGGAUGGUCACUGUCUGAGGCUGAAGCUUUUGGGGCCAGGAGUAAAAGGACUUGGUUUGUGCUCGAUUGCAUCCUGUGGGUGCUUGCCUACCAACUGACUCAUCCCGACGUGCCAAAGGCCCUGGCUUUCACCUGUGUGGGUAAGGGAAGAAGAGAUUUCUUUGUUCCUAGUUCAAUUCAAACGCACCAUCCUAAGCACA